CAGAGUUAUAAAACUCCCAAACCCACUGUUUACCUACCUGAAAAGUUGCUUCGGCAGGCGGCCCCAGGGCGGGGCCACAGCCGCAAGGCGCCUGCCGAGGAAUUUUAAACUCCUGUUUUAAUGUCUAUCUGAGUCUAUAAAACAAAUUAUUA
Molecule: unclassified non-coding RNA, 152 nt
Filed under: uncultured Sordariomycetes
Lineage: Eukaryota; Fungi; Ascomycota; Sordariomycetes
Description: sequence contains ITS1
Source: RNAcentral